RNAcentral lists this ribosomal RNA (443 nucleotides) under uncultured bacterium. Its description in RNAcentral is "bacterial SSU rRNA". It matches the Rfam family "Bacterial small subunit ribosomal RNA", at positions 338 to 795 of the family's 1533-position model. The record is from RNAcentral.
CCUACGGGGGGCAGCAGUGGGGAAUUUUCCGCAAUGGGCGCAAGCCUGACGGAGCAAUACCGCGUGAGGGAGGAAGGCUCUUGGGUCGUAAACCUCUUUUCUCAGGGAAGAACAAAAUGACGGUACCUGAGGAAUAAGCAUCGGCUAACUCUGUGCCAGCAGCCGCGGUAAUACAGAGGAUGCAAGCGUUAUCCGGAAUGAUUGGGCGUAAAGCGUCCGUAGGUGGUUUGUCAAGUCUGUGGUUAAAGCGUGGAGCUCAACUCCAUAACGGCCAUGGAAACUGACAGACUAGAGUUAAGUAGGGGUAGAGGGAAUUCCCAGUGUAGCGGUGAAAUGCGUAGAGAUUGGGAAGAACACCGGUGGCGAAAGCGCUCUACUGGACUUAUACUGACACUGAGGGACGAAAGCUAGGGGAGCGAAAGGGAUUAGAUACCCCAGUAGUC